GCCAUCCUCAGCCACCUGCCAGGCUUGGUGCUCACCGGUGACAGUCCCUGCAGGCUGCACCAGGACCCAGACCCACCACAAGGCUCAGCUUGUCACUGUGAGCAGCAAGGUUUAGGGAACAGGAGAGCGUCCUAUGACUGCGAGAGCAACAGUGGGGACAACCAAGAAAGCACAUCACUCUUUCUCUUGAGGCUCUACACCUCUUUGUUCCUGCAAAGCUCCACGCUGGCCCAGACCCCACGCCUGGAAUUUGGCCUCCACAGCUGGAGUCUCCCCCACCUCAGCAGCACCAGGAGAGAAGUGAGGCUGGGAUCAGCAGCAUGGCUCUAAUCCUGGUGCAUUAAUGGGAUCAUUGGGAAGACCCCAACUUCUGCAACUCCAGCCUGAGACAGAGGGACAGAACCUUCACCUGUGACAGCUUCCCUGGAGUCCUCACCUCUUUGCUGAGCCCUGCUGCCUCCUCCCCAGCUGGUUCCUCACAUGAGACACCUCUGCUCAGCUCUGUGAAGGUCAGUGACAUGUGGCAUUGCUCAGGGACUGUCCUGUCCCCUCAGCUCAUCCCUUCCUGCUCCCUGGCACUGAUGCCCUCUUGCAAGGCCCCACAUCCCAGGCAAUGUCCCAGGCUUUGUGACACAGGACUGGGUUUCACCUGGACAGCCUCA
Long non-coding RNA from Parus major (Great Tit), 662 nucleotides. RefSeq lists it as uncharacterized. Lineage: Eukaryota; Metazoa; Chordata; Aves; Passeriformes; Paridae. The transcript is spliced from 4 exons. The record is from RefSeq and is a predicted model, not a curated record.